CUUAAAUGAAUUGACGGGGAGCACCACAACAGGUGGAGCCUGCGGUUUAAUCGGACUCAACGCCGGGAAACUCACCAGAUAAGACAGCUGAAUGAUAGUCGGGCUGAAGACUCUACUUGACUAGCUGAGAGGAGGUGCAUGGCCGUCGUCAGUUCGUACUGUGAAGCAUCCUGUUAAGUCAGGCAACGAGCGAGACCCACGCCAACAGUUGCCAGCAUGUCCUCCGGGAUGGUGGGGACACUGUUGGGACCGCCUCUGCUAAAGAGGAGGAAGGAAUGGGCAACGGUAGGUCAGCAUGCCCCGAAUUAUCCGGGCUACACGCGGGCUACAAUGGUCAGGACAAUGGGCAUCAACACCGAAAGGUGAAGGCAAUCUCCUAAACCCAUCCGUAGUUCGGAUUGUGGGCUGCAACUCGCCCACAUGAAGCUGGAAUCUGUAGUAAUCGUGUUUCAAAAUAGCACGGUGAAUAUGUCCCUGCUCCUU
This 483-nucleotide ribosomal RNA is filed under the name uncultured Methanomicrobiales archaeon. RNAcentral's name for it is "bacterial SSU rRNA". It matches the Rfam family "Archaeal small subunit ribosomal RNA", at positions 855 to 1338 of the family's 1478-position model. The record is from RNAcentral. Lineage: Archaea; Methanobacteriati; Methanobacteriota; Methanomicrobia; Methanomicrobiales.